AACGAACGCUGGCGGCAUGCCUAACACAUGCAAGUCGAACGAGACCUUCGGGUCUAGUGGCGCACGGGUGCGUAACGCGCGGGAACCUGCCUUUAGGUUCGGAAUAACUCAGAGAAAUUUGAGCUAAUACCGGAUGAUGUCUUCGGACCAAAGAUUUAUCGCCUUUAGAUGGGCCCGCGUUGGAUUAGCUAGUUGGUGGGGUAAAGGCCUACCAAGGCGACGAUCCAUAGCUGGUCUGAGAGGAUGAUCAGCCACACUGGGACUGAGACACGGCCCAGACUCCUACGGGAGGCAGCAGUGGGGAAUAUUGGACAAUGGGCGAAAGCCUGAUCCAGCAAUGCCGCGUGAGUGAUGAAGGCCUUAGGGUUGUAAAGCUCUUUUACCCGAGAUGAUAAUGACAGUAUCGGGAGAAUAAGCUCCGGCUAACUCCGUG
This 433-nucleotide ribosomal RNA is filed under the name uncultured bacterium. Its description in RNAcentral is "partial 16S ribosomal RNA". It matches the Rfam family "Bacterial small subunit ribosomal RNA", at positions 29 to 507 of the family's 1533-position model. The record is from RNAcentral.